CCUACGGGAGGCUGCAGUGGGGAAUAUUGCACAAUGGGCGAAAGCCUGAUGCAGCAACGCCGCGUGAGCGAUGAAGGCCUUCUGGUCGUAAAGCUCUGUUUUCAAGGAAGCUAAAGACGGCACGCGAGGAGUUCCGCCCGGCUACCUACGUGCCAGCUGCCGCGGUAAUACGCAGGCGGCUAGCGUUAUCCGGAAUUACUGGGCGUAAAGGGUGCGUAGGCGGUUUCUUAAGUCAGCGGUAAAAGGGUGCGGCUCAACCUGAGUGAGCCGUUGAAACUGGGGAACUUGAGUGAAGGAGAGGAGAGUGGAAUGCGUGGUGUAGCGGUGAAAUGCAUAGAUAUUACGCAGAACUCCGGUUGCGAAGGCAGCACACUGGAGUGUAACUGACACUGAGGCACGAAAGCGUGGGGAGCGAACAGGAUUAGAUACCCUUGUAGUC
This 439-nucleotide ribosomal RNA is filed under the name uncultured bacterium. RNAcentral describes it as "partial 16S ribosomal RNA". It matches the Rfam family "Bacterial small subunit ribosomal RNA", at positions 338 to 795 of the family's 1533-position model. The record is from RNAcentral.